Molecule: long non-coding RNA, 208 nt
Filed under: Elaeis guineensis (African oil palm)
Lineage: Eukaryota; Viridiplantae; Streptophyta; Magnoliopsida; Arecales; Arecaceae
Description: long non-coding RNA (EGUI_LNC070290)
Source: RNAcentral
UCUAGCAAUUGGAUUCCUACCGAGCUUCGCUAACGGAAAGUCUCUGUCCGAGCUUCUACAGUAGGUGACCCCCACCUGUAGUAUCAGCGCCUAAGGUACCCGACAACAGUAGACUCAUCAGUAGCUUCGGAGACAUCCGAGCUUCUCCCAGACCAAUAAUAGAGAGCCAUUCCACUCCAUCAGAUGUCCUAGCCGAGCUCCAGCCGAC